GACGAACGCUGGCGGUGCGCUUAACACAUGCAAGUGGAGCGACGAACCGGGGCUUGCCCCGGGGCAGAGCCGCGAACGGGUGAGUAACACGUGGGUAACCUACCCCGAUGACCGGGACAACCCGAGGAAACUCGAGCUAAUACCGGAUGUGCUCCUUGAUCUUGAGGUCAAGGCGUAAAGAUAGCUUCGGCCUUCGCAUCGGGACGGGCCCGCGGCCCAUUAGCUUGUUGGUGGGGUAACGGCUCACCAAGGCGACGAUGGGUAGCUGGUCUGAGAGGACGAUCAGCCACACUGGGACUGAGACACGGCCCAGACUCCUACGGGAGGCAGCAGUGGGGAAUCUUGCGCAAUGCGCGAAAAGCGUGACGCAGCAACGCCGCGUGGGG
Molecule: ribosomal RNA, 386 nt
Filed under: uncultured bacterium
Lineage: Bacteria
Description: bacterial SSU rRNA
Rfam family: Bacterial small subunit ribosomal RNA
Source: RNAcentral